UCGCCAGCUGUUUUCGGACUACAAUUCCCAUCAUCCCAGACCCCUGUUCCUGCUAGCUAGGGAUGAUGGGAGUUGUAGUCCAAAAACAGCUGGAGA
RNAcentral lists this microRNA precursor (96 nucleotides) under Podarcis lilfordi (Lilford's wall lizard). Lineage: Eukaryota; Metazoa; Chordata; Lepidosauria; Squamata; Lacertidae. The record is from RNAcentral.